Molecule: transfer RNA, 71 nt
Filed under: Saccoglossus kowalevskii
Lineage: Eukaryota; Metazoa; Hemichordata; Enteropneusta; Harrimaniidae
Description: tRNA-Cys
Rfam family: tRNA
About the family: Transfer RNA (tRNA) molecules are approximately 80 nucleotides in length. Their secondary structure includes four short double-helical elements and three loops (D, anti-codon, and T loops). Further hydrogen bonds mediate the characteristic L-shaped molecular structure. tRNAs have two regions of fundamental functional importance: the anti-codon, which is responsible for specific mRNA codon recognition, and the 3' end, to which the tRNAs corresponding amino acid is attached (by aminoacyl-tRNA synthetases). tRNAs cope with the degeneracy of the genetic code in two manners: having more than one tRNA (with a specific anti-codon) for a particular amino acid; and 'wobble' base-pairing, i.e. permitting non-standard base-pairing at the 3rd anti-codon position.
Source: RNAcentral
GGGGAUAUAGCUCAGUGGUAGAGCAUUCGACUGCAGAUCGAGAGGCCCUGGUUUGAACCCGGGUGUCCCCU